AACCCAUGAUGAGGGCAUCUUAUCCAAAGAUCCUUAAAUCUCUCCCAUGCAUCGUAUAGUGUCUCAAACUCAAUUUGGGAAAAUGAAGACAUGUCGUUCCUCAACUU
Molecule: non-coding RNA, 107 nt
Organism: Gossypium raimondii (Peruvian cotton)
Lineage: Eukaryota; Viridiplantae; Streptophyta; Magnoliopsida; Malvales; Malvaceae
Source: Rfam